RNAcentral lists this ribosomal RNA (253 nucleotides) under uncultured bacterium. RNAcentral describes it as "partial 16S ribosomal RNA". It matches the Rfam family "Bacterial small subunit ribosomal RNA", at positions 524 to 776 of the family's 1533-position model. The record is from RNAcentral.
UACAGAGGGUGCGAGCGUUAAUCGGAAUUACUGGGCGUAAAGCGUGCGUAGACGGUUAUCUAAGUCGGAUGUGAAAGCCCCGGGCUCAACCUGGGAAUUGCAUUCGAGACUGAAUAGCUAGGGUGCGGUAGAGGGAAGCGGAAUUUCCGGUGUAGCGGUGAAAUGCGUAGAUACCGGAAGGAACGUCAGUGGCGAAAGCGGCUUCCUGGACCAGCACCGACGUUCAGGCACGAAAGCGUGGGGAGCAAACAGG